ACACAUGCAAGUCGAGGGGUAUAGUUCUUCGGAACUAGAGACCGGCGCACGGGUGCGUAACGCGUAUGCAAUCUACCUUUCACAGAGGGAUAGCCCAGAGAAAUUUGGAUUAAUACCUCAUAGUAUAAUGAGUUGGCAUCAACACAUUAUUAAAGUCACAACGGUGAAAGAUGAGCAUGCGUCCCAUUAGCUAGAUGGUAAGGUAACGGCUUACCAUGGCUACGAUGGGUAGGGGUCCUGAGAGGGAGAUCCCCCACACUGGUACUGAGACACGGACCAGACUCCUACGGGAGGCAGCAGUGAGGAAUAUUGGACAAUGGGCGCAAGCCUGAUCCAGCCAUGCCGCGUGCAGGAUGACGGUCCUAUGGAUUGUAAACUGCUUUUGUACAGGAAGAAACACUGGUUCGUGAACCAGCUUGACGGUACUGUAAGAAUAAGGAUCGGCUAACUCCGUGCCAGCAGCCGCGGUAAUACGGAGGAUCCAAGCGUUAUCCGGAAUCAUUGGGUUUAAAGGGUCCGUAGGCGGUUUAGUAAGUCAGUGGUGAAAGCCCAUCGCUCAACGGUGGAACGGCCAUUGAUACUGCUAAACUUGAAUUAUUAGGAAGUAACUAGAAUAUGUAGUGUAGCGGUGAAAUGCUUAGAGAUUACAUGGAAUACCAAUUGCGAAGGCAGGUUACUACUAAUGGAUUGACGCUGAUGGACGAAAGCGUGGGUAGCGAACAGGAUUAGAUACCCUGGUAGUCCACGCCGU
This 751-nucleotide ribosomal RNA is filed under the name unidentified microorganism. RNAcentral describes it as "bacterial SSU rRNA". It matches the Rfam family "Bacterial small subunit ribosomal RNA", at positions 51 to 803 of the family's 1533-position model. The record is from RNAcentral.